This 257-nucleotide ribosomal RNA is filed under the name uncultured prokaryote. RNAcentral describes it as "partial 16S ribosomal RNA". It matches the Rfam family "Bacterial small subunit ribosomal RNA", at positions 521 to 777 of the family's 1533-position model. The record is from RNAcentral.
UAAUACGGGGGGAGCAAGCGUUGUUCGGAUUUACUGGGCGUAAAGGGCGCGUAGGCGGCGCAACAAGUCAGCUGUGAAAUCUCCGGGCUUAACCCGGAGCGGCCAGCUGAUACUGUCGCGCUAGAGUGCGGAAGGGGCUACUGGAAUUCUCGGUGUAGCGGUGAAAUGCGUAGAUAUCGAGAGAAACACCUGUGGCGAAGGCGGGUAGCUGGGCCGACACUGACGCUGAGGCGCGAAAGCUAGGGGAGCGAACGGGA